CUUGCCAUAGUUUAGUGAAUACAAGCAUGUCUAGCUUGAGGUUUAGGCGGGU
Molecule: transfer RNA, 52 nt
Filed under: Pomphorhynchus laevis
Lineage: Eukaryota; Metazoa; Acanthocephala; Palaeacanthocephala; Echinorhynchida; Pomphorhynchidae
Description: tRNA-Asp
Source: RNAcentral